GCCCGCGGGUAAUGGCUGAGGCGGCACAUGUGUCGAAGGUUGUCGGUGCGCGACACCAACAAGCUGGUGCGCUCCCCCAGCGGCCUGCGCAUGGUGCCCGUGCACCGCGUCUUCGGAAGCCCGUUAGGCCUGGCGGUGCCACCGUGGGUCCCAGACAAGGAGCAUCCAAGAUGUAUGCAGUGUGACGCCAAGCUUGGCUUUAUCACCAGAAAGCACCACUGUCGCCAUUGUGGGAGGUGCUUCUGCGACCGGUGCUGCAGCCAGAAGGUGCCACUGCGGCACAUGUGUUGCGCGGGCCCCGUGGGUCAGUGCGCAGAGUGCGCCCUGGUGUCCCACAAGGAGAUGGACUUCUAUGACGAGCAGCUCAAGGUACUCCUGAGCGGAGCCAACUUCCUCGUCACUUUUGGAAACUCAGAGAAAUCUGAAACCAUGACUUGUCUUUCUAACAACCGGAGUAACUUGUUUCUGGAUGGAGACAGCCACUAUGAGAUCGAAAUUGCACAUAUCUCAACCGCCCAGAUCCUCACGGAAGGCUAUCCUCCUGGAGGAGGCAACACACGGUGCCAGGGACAGAGGGUGUGGUCUAACUGAAGCUGACAGCCGGGGAGGACGCUAAUGCUGGCAGGAGGCAGGCAAUGGCGUGGCUGGCGGCCACGCACAAGGGCACCAAACUCCUACAGAUGUCGGGACCAUGUGGUGCAGGGCUUGGAGUACAUCUUGCCACCAGUUCCGAGUUGCUUGGAAUAGCAGGGUGA
Molecule: RNA transcript, 755 nt
Organism: Carlito syrichta (Philippine tarsier)
Lineage: Eukaryota; Metazoa; Chordata; Mammalia; Primates; Tarsiidae
Gene name: zinc finger FYVE domain-containing protein 21 pseudogene
Exons: 1
Source: RefSeq, a predicted model, not a curated record